UACGUAGGGUGCGAGCGUUGUCCGGAAUUACUGGGCGUAAAGAGCUCGUAGGUGGUUUGUCGCGUUGUUCGUGAAAACUCACAGCUCAACUGUGGGCGUGCGGGCGAUACGGGCAGACUGGAGUACUGCAGGGGAGACUGGAAUUCCUGGUGUAGCGGUGGAAUGCGCAGAUAUCAGGAGGAACACCGGUGGCGAAAGCGGGUCUCUGGGCAGUAACUGACGCUGAGGAGCGAAAGCGUGGGGAGCGAACAGG
Molecule: ribosomal RNA, 253 nt
Filed under: uncultured bacterium
Lineage: Bacteria
Description: partial 16S ribosomal RNA
Rfam family: Bacterial small subunit ribosomal RNA
Source: RNAcentral